UAAAAGUCGUAACAAGGUUUCCGUAGGUGAGCCUGCGGAAGGAUCAUUAAAAAUGUGGUACAAUUAUUGGUACUAAUUAAUCAUCCUACCCUUUGUGAAUUGUUUGUAUGAAUUUUUUUAAAUGGUCUUCCCUAAGUUGGAUGUUAGUAAAAUACAAAAAGACUUAGGGAAUGACUUUUUUAAAAGACUUUUUUUAAUUAAAACUUUUUGUAUUCAUUUGUCUAAAAUUUAUUUUUAUAAUAUAAAACAACUUUGACAAUGGAUCUCUUGUUCUCGCAACGAUGAAGAACGCAGCAAAAUGCGAUAAGUAGUGUGAAUUGCAGAAUACGUGAAUCAUCGAAUCUUUGAACGCAUAUUGCACUUUUUUAGUUACUAAAAAGUAUGUCUGUUUGAGUAUCAGUAAAAUAUUCUCACAACAUUAUUGUUUGUGUAAUGAGUGUUUUACAACGAUAAACAAGUUGUUUCACUUUAAAUUCUUUUUGUAAGUUUUACUACCAAUUACAAAUUUAAAAUUGGAUAAAAUUUUCCUUUAACGAGGAAUAACCUAAACAAUUUAAUUUUUUGGUUUGUAAAAUCCAUAAGGAAUCUAUACAUAAAUAACUUGAUCUCAAAUCAGAUAAGAGUACCGCUGAACUUAGCAUAUCAAUAAGCGGAGGAAAAGAAACUAACAAGAUUCCCUUAGUAACGGCGAGUGAGCGGGAAGAGCUCAAAUUUGAAAUCUUCAAGGUUGACCUUGACGAAUUGUAGUUUAUAGAAGUGUUUCUGUUGGAGCUUUGGUAAAGUUCUUGGAAUAGGACAUCAUAGAGGGUGAGAAUCCCGUAUUUGACCAUGACUUUCCAACUGUGUGAUACACUUUCAAGAGUCGGAUUGUUUGGGAAUGCAGUCCAAAUGGGUGGUAAAUUCAUCUAAGCUAAUAUUGGCGAGAGACCGAUAGCGAACAAGUACCGUGAGGGAAAGAUGAAAAGAACUUUGAAAAGAGAGUUAACAGUACGUGAAAUGUCAAAAGGGAAGCGUUUGACACCAGUGUUGUUUUCUCGAAAUCAAUUUAAUGAGUUCUUGUUUUUAAGUUAUUGUGACUUUAUCAGCGCAUUUCUUAUUUACUUGACUCAUUGAAUGCACCUUUCGUUUAACAAGUCAACAUCAAUUCUUUGGUGGUAAAAAGUUUAAAGGAAGGUGGCUUGGACUUCGGUCAAGUUUUAUAGCCUUUUCUAUGCCAUCGGAGAGAUGAGGUCUGCAGCGUAGAUCCUUCGGGGUUAGAUACCUUUGUGCUAAGUUAUAGUUUUAUAGACAACUUGUUGACUAUAAUAACCCUGUAAUUACUCGCUUAGGCUAUUUUACUACGCUUAGGAUUG
Molecule: unclassified non-coding RNA, 1352 nt
Filed under: uncultured Neocallimastigales
Lineage: Eukaryota; Fungi; Neocallimastigomycota; Neocallimastigomycetes; Neocallimastigales
Description: partial contains small subunit ribosomal RNA, internal transcribed spacer 1, 5.8S ribosomal RNA, internal transcribed spacer 2, and large subunit ribosomal RNA
Rfam family: Eukaryotic large subunit ribosomal RNA (bases 603-1352)
Source: RNAcentral